RNAcentral lists this ribosomal RNA (521 nucleotides) under uncultured Glomeraceae. RNAcentral describes it as "SSU rRNA". It matches the Rfam family "Eukaryotic small subunit ribosomal RNA", at positions 569 to 1092 of the family's 1831-position model. Lineage: Eukaryota; Fungi; Glomeromycota; Glomeromycetes; Glomerales; Glomeraceae. The record is from RNAcentral.
AGCAGCCGCGGUAAUUCCAGCUCCAAUAGCGUAUAUUAAAGUUGUUGCAGUUAAAAAGCUCGUAGUUGAAUUUCGGGAUCAAUAUGUUGGUCGUGCCUUGGUACGUACUGGCAUUAUUGGUUUCUACCUUCUGAAGAACCUCGAUGUCAUUAAUUUGGUGUCUUGGGGAAUCAGGACUGUUACUUUGAAAAAAUUAGAGUGUUUAAAGCAGGCUCGCGCUUGAAUACAUUAGCAUGGAAUAAUGAAAUAGGACGUUUGAUUCUAUUUUGUUGGUUUCUAGGAUCGACGUAAUGAUUAAUAGGGAUAGUUGGGGGCAUUAGUAUUCAAUUGUCAGAGGUGAAAUUCUUGGAUUUAUUGAAGACUAACUACUGCGAAAGCAUUUGCCAAGGAUGUUUUCAUUAAUCAAGAACGAAAGUUAGGGGAUCGAAGACGAUCAGAUACCGUCGUAGUCUUAACCAUAAACUAUGCCGACUAGGGAUCGGAUGAUGUUAAUUUUUUAAUGACUCAUUCGGCGCCUUACG